This 657-nucleotide ribosomal RNA is filed under the name Triticum aestivum (bread wheat). RNAcentral describes it as "partial small subunit ribosomal RNA". Lineage: Eukaryota; Viridiplantae; Streptophyta; Magnoliopsida; Poales; Poaceae. The record is from RNAcentral.
GCGGUCUCUGCAUACAAGGCACAAAUCCUUGGUUUGGCAUUAUCUUCUAUGGACCAUAUGGUUUAGAAGCAUUGGGCACCGUCAACAACCAAAUUAUUUGCUUGAUUGGUCAUCCAAGAUAGAAUUUGGACUGCCAAUAGGCUUGUUAAACGAGGGUGGACAAAUUAUGGACUUUGCCCCCUUUGCAAAAGGGAACACGAAAGUGGGCCGCACCUAUUCUACAAAUGUCGGUUUUUCUUGCGUCUUUGGAAUCUAGUCAUUGGAAAACUACAUCUUGAGAAGUUGGACACUUCUACUUAGCACCUGGAUGACUCCAUGAAGGAUUGGUGGGAAAAACAUACCGCAACCGGCACACCUCAUCAUAAAGCUAUGUCAUCGCUAACCAUGCUAGUGUGGUGGUCAACUUGGAACAAAAGGAACGUAAGGGUAUUUCGUCAAAAAAGUGUUCCACCACCUAUAUUACUCGACGCUAUUAUUUCGGAAGCAAACCUUUGCGUCGUUGCCGAUGCUAAGAAUUGUUUUUUGAAUAGGAGGAUAGCCCUCGGCCUCUGCAUCCGAAAAAUGCAUGCCGCUAUAUUAUUAAAGCAGUUGCAGCAAAAAACAAGGUCUGGUAUCCGAGUACAGCUCGCAAAAGGACUAAAGAUAAAUAAAAACUAA